AUUUCUGCCUACAUCGCCCAGUGAGCAGUGAGCUGAGCAAGUGGCGAUUGAAUAUGACGUUCCAUUUUGUUCUAUAAAGGCCCUCCCCUUUCUUCGUCACGUCCUCUUUCAAUUUGGUGUCUUCGCUGUAGAGGUAAGAAACAUUGAAUUAUGUCCCAGAACAAAUCCAACUGAAUCACUAGUAAUUGUUUGCCAUCCAUUACAUACAACAACUGUGUUAUCUUUAAUUGCAGGCACAUCUCCACAAGAUGAGAGCAAAGUGGAGGAAGAAGCGUAUGCGCAGGCUGAAGCGUAAAAGGCGAAAGAUGAGGCAGAGGUCCAAGUAGACUGGCCCAUUCCCCUACUGCUGUGAUUGUUUUUCUCCACCCACUCCAAGCCCUCUGAAGCCAGCGGUCCAUGAUUUGAAGAGCUGAACCAUGGUGGUCUGAAGCUGGCCUCGUUGGUGUGAAGGACAGAUUCUGCCUACCCAGCCCUCUACUCUGCCAAUGGCUCCUGGCCGUUGACUUCUGCUAGAAUCUCUCCUGUCAUUAAACUCUGGCCUUUUACCACCUGCACAGCUGUUGUAAAGACCAUAAUAAAUAUUUGGUUUACUAACUACAUUACAGUCUCUGUAAACAUUGAUUCAGGUUCAAAUCUUAUUUUAUUGAUCACACACAUUUAGUAGAUAUUGCGGGUGUGGUGAAAUUCUUAUCUUUCGGUCCACCCAACUUGCACUUAAUGCUUUUGAUAAUGUUGGAAACUAAUAUCUGGGGAACCAGUUGAUGCUUUUGAGUCCCCGUUGCAGUACAAUUUGGUUUACAUUUGUACAGCUGUAGACUUAACUGCCCUGGGGAUCAGUAAUAUAGUUGAGGUUCCGGUUUAACUAAGUUCCUGAACAGUGGUUUUCCAGCGUGCCAAGUUCUGAGGUCGGGUGAUCUGAUGCAGUACUCCCCUCUUCCUGGUGAAAUAGCCCUUACACAACCUGGAAGUGUGUGUUGGUUAAUUGUCCUGUUGAAAAACAGUCCCA
Oncorhynchus tshawytscha (Chinook salmon) is the source of this 1006-nucleotide long non-coding RNA. The record is from Ensembl. NCBI's taxonomy places the organism in Eukaryota, Metazoa, Chordata, Actinopteri, Salmoniformes, Salmonidae.